GUGUGACUGAGCAAGACACUGUGCUUCAACAUGAGCUGGGUCAAGUACAGAAGACAAAAACAGUCUGCAGUUGUAACCAAGCCGGUGAAAACAGUCAUGCAGAGGACCCCGAUAUUAGAGAACCAGGGUGACUUCAGCAGCAAAUCUUUAUUGAUAAGACUUGCAUUGGCAUGGAGGACUUGAAGCUGGUAAUAGCUGCAUGAUUUCAUUAAUCAUGUGAGAGGUGACUUGAGCUUGCCCACACUGUUUAUGCUUAGCCUGAACCUUCAGUCUACAAGCAGCUUGCCUGAGGACUAGAACCUUUAUUUCUUGAAGUCAUGGGUCUGCUGUCCUGAUGCAGGUACAGGCAGGUGCUGAAGAUCAAUUUCAGAGAGUCCCCGAGGCUCUGCCUGGAAUCAAGAAGAGGCCCGAGGUCAUGGACACUUCCCAGUCAUGUGCCUACAAUGCUGCCUGUACCUCUGUGCUGGGCACUGCUGUGUUAUAUCCUCAAAAUGUGGAAUCCCAGCCCCAUGACACAUUACAAGAGUUUGGAUAAGAAAGCUGAUGCAGGAAGAAUGGAGUGAAAGCUGAGGCAAGGGACUGAGACAGUUUCCUCUCUACAGUUAGAUGGAAAACCAGAACAGGAUGUCAUGAACCCUGGGAGCACAGCACAGGGUGGUCGUUUCUGGGAUCACACAGCUUAGAGGGAGCUUGGGGUCACUCUACAUUCUACAUCUAGUACCAGGAAAUGAAAUUCAGUUUUCCUGCUAACUUGGAAGAACACAAAAGAACUUAAUUUAAACCAUGUCUAUCCAAUGUUUAUUUCUUUCAUAUCAUCAUAAAGUGGGCCAUUUAGAGGAGAAACUUAGAAACUUAGAAUUUUAGAAAGUUCUCUAUUUUUUCCUGGAAAUAGCCAUGCAGAAGUCACAGACACAAGCAAAUGACUGUGGAAGUCCCAAUAAAACUUUAUUGGAGAAGAAAUGCAAGAGCUCAGAGCCACUUUAAAGAAGAAUGACACUUGUCUUUGGUCAUCAAUGAAUC
Mus musculus (house mouse) is the source of this 1020-nucleotide long non-coding RNA. RefSeq annotates it as predicted gene, 30017. The transcript has 3 exons. Lineage: Eukaryota; Metazoa; Chordata; Mammalia; Rodentia; Muridae. The record is from RefSeq and is a predicted model, not a curated record.